AAUGCUUUACACAUGCAAGUCGAACGGCAGCACGGACUUCGGUCUGGUGGCGAGUGGCGAACGGGUGAGUAAUAUAUCGGAACGUGCCCAGUCGUGGGGGAUAACGUAGUGAAAAUUACGCUAAUACCGCAUACGAUCUAAGGAUGAAAGCGGGGGAUCGCAAGACCUCGCGCGAUUGGAGCGGCCGAUAUCAGAUUAGGUAGUUGGUGAGGUAAAGGCUCACCAAGCCAAUGAUCUGUAGCUGGUCUGAGAGGACGACCAGCCACACUGGAACUGAGACACGGUCCAGACUCCUACGGGAGGCAGCAGUGGGGAAUUUUGGACAAUGGACGCAAGUCUGAUCCAGCCAUUCCGCGUGCAGGACGAAGGCCUUCGGGUUGUAAACUGCUUUUGUACAGAACGAAAAGGUCUCUAUUAAUACUAGGGGCUCAUGACGGUACUGUAAGAAUAAGCACCGGCUAACUACGUGCCAGCAGCCGCGGUAAUACGUAGGGUGCAAGCGUUAAUCGGAAUUACUGGGCGUAAAGCGUGCGCAGGCGGUUAUAUAAGACAGAUGUGAAAUCCCCGGGCUCAACCUGGGAACUGCAUUUGUGACUGUAUAGCUGGAGUGCGGCAGAGGGGGAUGGAAUUCCGCGUGUAGCAGUGAAAUGCGUAGAUAUGCGGAGGAACACCGAUGGCGAAGGCAAUCCCCUGGGCCUGCACUGACGCUCAUGCACGAAAGCGUGGGGAGCAAACAGGAUUAGAUACCCUGGUAGUCCACGCC
RNAcentral lists this ribosomal RNA (763 nucleotides) under uncultured bacterium. Its description in RNAcentral is "bacterial SSU rRNA". It matches the Rfam family "Bacterial small subunit ribosomal RNA", at positions 43 to 801 of the family's 1533-position model. The record is from RNAcentral.